Molecule: ribosomal RNA, 503 nt
Filed under: uncultured bacterium
Lineage: Bacteria
Description: bacterial SSU rRNA
Rfam family: Bacterial small subunit ribosomal RNA
Source: RNAcentral
CUGGCGGCGUGCCUAACACAUGCAAGUCGAACGAGAAAGUGGAGCAAUCCAUGAGUAAAGUGGCGACCGGGUGAGUAACACGUGACUAACCUACCUCCGAGUGGGGAAUAACUCCGGGAAACCGGGGCUAAUACCGCAUAACAUCGCAAGAUCAAAGCAGCAAUGCGCUUGGAGAGGGGGUCGCGGCUGAUUAGCUAGUUGGCGGGGUAACGGCCCACCAAGGCGAAGAUCGGUAUCCGGCCUGAGAGGGCGCACGGACACACUGGAACUGAAACACGGUCCAGACUCCUACGGGAGGCAGCAGUGGGGAAUUUUGCGCAAUGGGGGAAACCCUGACGCAGCAACGCCGCGUGGAGGAUGAAGCCCUUUGGGGCGUAAACUCCUUUCGACUCGGACGAUGAUGACGGUACGAGUGGAAGAAGCACCGGCUAACUCUGUGCCAGCAGCCGCGGUAAUACAGAGGGUGCGAGCGUNGUUCGGAAUUAUUGGGCGUAAAGGGCGCG